Molecule: long non-coding RNA, 391 nt
Organism: Hemicordylus capensis (graceful crag lizard)
Lineage: Eukaryota; Metazoa; Chordata; Lepidosauria; Squamata; Cordylidae
Exons: 3
Source: RefSeq, a predicted model, not a curated record
CAGAAGUGUCAUUUCAAUUCAGACAGGCUGGGCCAGUCUGCCUCCAUUCCCUGGGAGAUGAGUGCUUCCCAGUGCUGGCUAUCCUCAUCUCUCACAAAGGAUUCUUCAUUAGUAUUCAGACCAUACCAACAGUUUUCACGAUCCAUAUGAACUAAAAACACUGAUCUUGUGCAGAAGAAUUCUGGAGCUGAUUACAGAUUCUAAUGAUUUAUCCCAAGAAAGGCCAAUGUUUGUAUUUUCAAGGGCAGCUGAUUUUCAGGGCAUUAGUUCAAGGGUCAAGACCAUCUGAGUCUCUCAAAGAUUGUAGAUGUUUCUACAACAGAAAAAGUUUCAGAGAGGGAGCACAUGGGGCAGUGUGAGGUCAUCAACUGAAGGGAGUGGGAACUGAAAA